RNAcentral lists this ribosomal RNA (460 nucleotides) under uncultured bacterium. RNAcentral describes it as "partial 16S ribosomal RNA". It matches the Rfam family "Bacterial small subunit ribosomal RNA", at positions 338 to 795 of the family's 1533-position model. The record is from RNAcentral.
CCUACGGGCGGCAGCAGUGAGGAAUAUUGGUCAAUGGACGAGAGUCUGAACCAGCCAAGUAGCGUGAAGGAUGACUGCCCUAUGGGUUGUAAACUUCUUUUAUAUGGGAAUAACAUGUUCCACGUGUGGGAUUUUGUAUGUACCAUAUGAAUAAGGAUCGGCUAACUCCGUGCCAGCAGCCGCGGUAAUACGGAGGAUCCGAGCGUUAUCCGGAUUUAUUGGGUUUAAAGGGAGCGUAGGUGGAUUGUUAAGUCAGUUGUGAAAGUUUGCGGCUCAACCGUAAAAUUGCAGUUGAAACGGUCAGUCUUGAGUACAGUAGAGGUGGGCGGAAUUCGUGGUGUAGCGGUGAAAUGCUUAGAUAUCACGAAGAACUCCGAUUGCGAAGGCAGUUCACUGGACUGCAACUGACACUGAGGCUCGAAAGUGUGGGUAUCAAACAGGAUUAGAUACCCUAGUAGUC